RNAcentral lists this long non-coding RNA (304 nucleotides) under Eucalyptus grandis. RNAcentral describes it as "long non-coding RNA (EGRA_LNC002241)". Lineage: Eukaryota; Viridiplantae; Streptophyta; Magnoliopsida; Myrtales; Myrtaceae. The record is from RNAcentral.
CUUAAGUCAUUGACCGUGACAGCUCAAAUAAGUCAAACUCACAUAUGGACCAUUAGUCCAUAAAGGUGGACCAUGCAGAAGAGAAAGAACCGGCAGAAACUCCAAGAGACCGAUGGCCGAGCUUCAAGGGACCAAGAGGUAAAUGCAAAUUUUACGCUAAGUAGAUUUAACACGGAGGAUGGGAAAGAACCGGCAAACAUGUAAGAGACCAAAAGGUGGAGGAUCUUCAGUUGAGUUGAUAAGGCAAAUGUCAGAGUUUGAGGUUUCGAUUCUGUAGUCAAAGGAGGGAGGUUCGGUUCAGUAU